AGUUGCAGUGGGAGAUGGACGGAAUGAGAGCAGGCUUCAUGUGCGCCGCACCGCACCCGGCUGCCCCUGUGAGGACAGUCUGUUUCUGACAUGAGCUCGGACUGCGAAAGUUAUUACAGCAAAGAAAACGUGCUCGUGGAGGGCUUCACGUGUCCCAGAGCGGACAGUGACACCACGGCACUUUUCUGCUGCGGGUUCAGUGACUUGAAGUACUGUUGUGAUGACCCCAACAGCUUUUUCCCAUACGAAUAUGGAUACAUGUGGUGGUUAAGUCUUGGAGCUCUCGUGGGUCUCUCUGUGGCAGCGUUGGUUCUCCUUGCGUUUAUCAUCACUCUCUGUGUCCUCUGCUAUCUGUUCAUCACCACCAAACCCAGAGGUCUGGACAACGGGCUGCCGCUCCGAGCACCAGGCUCUACAUCCAGUCCACAAGGACCAGGGCCGAGUCAGACCAGCGCCCCUACUGGCCCUCAAGGCCUUCGGAAACACUUCCUGAGAGGCAAGCUGGAUUGUGACAACCAGCCACCGGACCCUGACCGCCUUUUCCAGCGCUGUUUCAUGGCUACUGUCACAUCUAUCAAUGUCGAGGGUCCUGCAUAGACUGCCACACUUUUGGACUUUUUGACAUUUUUUUUCUUACAUGGUGGCCACUGACCUGUUCACUAUACUGUAUCCUUCUUCCGUAGAAGACUACAGGGAAACGGAUCACCUGCGGCUCACUCAAUGGAUUUGUGAUGCAAUCCGCAGAAGUUAUGAAGCGGUGGAUCACCCUCUCCCCAGAUGGCCUGAGGCAUUGUGUCCUCUGUGGUGCUUUUCAGGGAUGUCUCAGUAGAGGACAUCUGCUUGGCCGCCACCUGCUCAUCCACUUCAACCUUUGUACAGUCAUAUCUCAGGGAUAUGACUGCUUGUUUGGUGUCCCAUGCAGUGCUUCAUGCACUGUCUAGGUGGGCCUCGUCUGGAGCGUACUGAGGUGUUGGUAAGUGUCCAGCUUGUUUGUUGUUUUUUUGCAGUGUGGCGCGAGAUCCUCAGGCAGGCGGUUCUCAACUGCUGAACUGCUGCUGUUUUUUGGUUAGCUGGUUUUGGGCCAGCUGGGAAUACAGCUCAUCCCUAAUUGCCUUCGCUUUUUGUAAUAACUAAUAGCGAAGCCUGUUAUAGGGUGGAGCAUGUACAAAAUAGAAAUAGUAGUUACCUGGAUGUAACUCCAGUUCUUAUACGUGCGGAGCCCUCUAACUACAAGCCCAGCUGGCCCCAGUCAUUUGUUGCUGAGUUUCAAAGGGAGAUGAGCAGUGUAGAUAUGAGAGGAUGCUGCGCAGUCGCUACCUCUUGAUUGAGCAAUGAGUGCAAAGAUCUUUCCAAGGUGCCAAUUGCCUAUUGGUAAACUAAUAGCAAAGCUUGUAGAGGGCUCCACACGUACUCAUAAAACUGAAGUUACAUCUAGGUAACUACUAUUUGCUCACUGGGCAGAGAGAGCCUACUGAGUAGCAUUAUGGGAAUCGUAGGCUCCAGUGUUUUUGGAACUUGACCUAUAUUAGUGACUAAAGGUCAGGACAUCUCCCCCUCUGCUUUGAUUUCCAUCUCCAGCAUUGCAAUGGAGUGGAAAUGUGACACAGCUGCAUCUGGGGGAGUAAAUUGCUAAAAUAUUUCUUUAAAUAUGUUCAUCUGGAAACACAUCGCGAUGGUUACAUUUGUUUUUCAUAGAAAUGGAGCUGUAGCUGGUCUCACAUGGAUGUUCCAGGUUUAACAGCCACUGUGGCUUAACACUUUCCUGUUGGGGUGAAAUUUCCCUUUAAAGAGUAAAUAUAUCCUAGAUUAUAACUUACUUAAAUUAUAAAUAAAUAAGUGUGGACAAUGACAGUAACAGGAAAACGGCCACCCCUCCCGAAGAUUUUUUUUCCAAUAAUUAAGAUGUUCAAAGGUGCUUGAAUGAAUAGAAAGAUACCUGUCAUUUCCUAGUGUUAAGUUACUGUUUAGUGUGAACUGCUGUCAGAGACAGCCGUGUUGUCCUGAUGGUCUAGUGGUCUAAACUCAUUUAAACAAGGUCAUCUGUUUGAAUCCGGCCUGGCACCAAAGUGUGUGCAUCUUGCAGUUCCUGUCUAUCUAUUGUGAUCUCUUGUGGUUUAAAAGUUGUAAAAUACAUGUAUGUCAAAUUAUGUGCAUGUGAUAUUAAAUAUCUUGCUGUAAUUUGUACUGUAGCCCAAGCACAACAUUUUCUAUUUCAUCCAAUUUUUGAACAAAUUUCACCAAAAUAUUUGACAAUACACCUGAAAGCAGCAGAAUGUAGUGUGAUUCAGAAUGUUAUGACCAACAUUUUGACUGUUGUAAGCGUUUUAAGUUUAAAUAGACAAAAAAUACCCCAGUUUUGCACAUGUGAUGUCAUUGCCUCAAGUUGUGAGAAGGUGUGUGGAAACCAUGUUGCCCCAGUGGUGCAGUCAGUAAGUCACCUUCUAUGGGGAUGCAAAGGUCCAGGGUUUGAAUCCCUAGAUGGCCUACUUUCCAACAAUGUAGUAAAGCAUGCAUGUGGUAUGUUUUCACAUGCUUUUUGAGGUUAUAUUAAGUUGAAGGUUGUGACCCUGUGAAAAUUUCUUUUUCUAUUUUUCUCUGCUAAAAGUGUAUGUGCAUCAAACACCAUAAGACCUAGAAAUACCAAAAAUUGGCAGGUGGGUUGCAGUUUCCACCCACUACUCAGGCACAUAUAAUGACACUUAUUGACCUUAAGGUGACACUGUAAUAAUCAAGUUUACAUUUUUGCAAUCUCGAAAAUGACUUGGCCUAGAGUCAAAAUCUUUCAUCAUUUUAAUCUCUCAAGUCAUCUGCAUCUGGUCUUCUGAUCUACAAAUGUCAAACUUUGUGAGUUUUUGCAAUCUGCUUUGACUCUGAUCAUUACCGCUUGCGACUAUAUUUAUGUUUGGUUUUGAAAUACCAAAAUAAAAUAUUUUAAAAAAAGAAGAAACCAUCGUUUUUUGUUAUGAAUUCUCCUGUUGACUGCUCACUUCAUUUUAUGAAUAUUCAUGUAAUGUCUGUCUCUGUUUACGAGCUUGUUAAUGACUUGUGUUUCACAUCAUUCUACUUAUAGCGAGAUCUUUGGCAGCUUAA
Thunnus maccoyii (southern bluefin tuna) is the source of this 3090-nucleotide RNA transcript. It is a transcript of the gene named protein shisa-like-2A, with no coding region annotated. The transcript is spliced from 4 exons. NCBI's taxonomy places the organism in Eukaryota, Metazoa, Chordata, Actinopteri, Scombriformes, Scombridae. The record is from RefSeq and is a predicted model, not a curated record.